Molecule: ribosomal RNA, 466 nt
Filed under: uncultured bacterium
Lineage: Bacteria
Description: partial 16S ribosomal RNA
Rfam family: Bacterial small subunit ribosomal RNA
Source: RNAcentral
GAUGAACGCUGGCGGCGUGCUUAACACAUGCAAGUCGAACGAUGAAGCCCAGCUUGCUGGGUGGAUUAGUGGCGAACGGGUGAGUAACACGUGAGUAUCCUGCCCUUAUCUCUGGGAUAAGCCUGGGAAACUGGGUCUAUUACCCGAUAGGAGCGUCCCCCGCAUGGUGGGUGUUUUGAAGAUUUAUCGGUUUUGGAUGGACUCGCGGCCUAUCAGCUUGUUGGUGAGGUAAUGGCUCACCAAGGCGACGACGGGUAGCCGGCCUGAGAGGGUGACCGGCCACACUGGGACUGAGACACGGCCCAGACUCCUACGGGAGGCAGCAGUGGGGAAUAUUGCACAAUGGGCGCAAGCCUGAUGCAGCGACGCCGCGUGAGGGAUGACGGCCUUCGGGUUGUAAACCGCUUUCAGUAGGGAAGAAGCGAAAGUGACGGUACCUGCAGAAGAAGCACCGGCUAACUACGUG